CUAGGGAAUUCCGAAUAAUUCCCAGACACCCAACGUUAUUUCAAAGAAUUCCCAGAAAUUAAAAGGAAUUUCGUUUUUUUUCCAUUUGUCAACUUUCUGUUUAACGUGCUACAUCUUAUAUUACCCAAAUUUAUUUUUGAAUAUUGAAUUUUAAUGGAAUUCCGAAGAAUUCCAAAGAAUUUCGGAGGAAUUGCGAAGAAUUUCCAAGCACUCCAAGGAAUUUCGAAGAGUUCCCAGGAAACAAAAUAGAAUUUUCGAAGAAUUCCCAGGAUUUCUAAGGAAUUUCGUAAAUUAUAAGGAUUUAUAAGCAAUUCCGAAGAAGGAAUUAGUGCGCCCGCUGUCAGCGGGAGAAAAACGCAGGAAAACUUCUUCGGCAUAGAAAGUGGCAGUAAUUUUGAGCGUAUCUGUUAUAAGGUUGUCUAUUGCGAAUAUUUUUCGUGGAAACGUCGCUAAUUAAACACCUUGCCAAUUAUAAUGGGCUCCGCCUUCCGCUUUUACGUUGAAUAAUUAAUCGUCGACAAUUACGUCCGAAUAUGGGUCGCGGCAGCAUUUCUUCGGCACUACUUUGUUUUUCUUACGCGAGUUAAUUGGACGCCAGAUUGUGGCGCGUAAUUAAAUCGCAAGGGUACACACAGAAACCGUUCGGUUUGCGAAAUUUCGAACAUUUAAUGUUAAACUAAUUAAUGGAAAACUCAAAGUUCUUUGAUUUACUUAAUCAAUUGAGGAAAAAAAUCAUUACUUUUGUUUCCAGCGCACAUUUUUAACGCCCCCGUGUGGUACAGAACGAACAUUUCAGCCCUCGACGAAUUCAAAUAUGGAAACAAUGGAAAAUUAAUCUCUGAAAAACCUAACCUCAUCUUUAGCGGUUUUCGAGAAAUUAAUUUUCCCCCUUUUUCCUGUUAAAAACAUAGCUCCCCUAUUUGAGAGUCAUACCAUAAGCGAAUAUACAGGGUUCAAAAUAAGUAACAACACUAAAAAAAACUAAUUGUCAGUGUUAAUGUAUAAAAUAUUCUUUUUAUUAAUAGUUUCUCGUUUUCAAACAUAUUUUUCAGUAACACGUCAUUAUUUAAAAAAAUAUAUUUUCGUCCUGUUUUUUCGAAAUUAAAUAAAGAGUUGAUGAGUUGAUUUAGUUGAUUUACAAUCACCUAAUGCUACAAAUAAAGUAAAAAAAUGAACAAAAUUGAAUUUUGAGCUUAAUUUUCAAAACAACUUUAUACUAAUAUGUAUUUCUGAAAAGCUUAAAUGAUUUCCAAUUAAUAUAAAAAAUAAUCUACAGAAUGUUUCCACUUAUAAAAUAUAUAGGUUAAAACAAUCAAAAAAGCAAACUACGCCACUGGAUUCCACGGGAAUAACCCUUAAGAACGUUGUUUUAAACUUUUCGAUAACUUAAAAGACAACGCAGAUACGAGGGUGGUUUUCAAAUAUAUUUUUCUGUAUUUUCAUACAUUGCCAUUAUUAUAGAAAAUUGAUUAAAAUGAAAUAAACACAGAAAGAACAACUGGAUAGGUAAUUAAAAAAAAACUGGCAACCUCGUAAGUAUUUGACAUAUUCGCUUUUUUGUUUUUAAUGGAUGGGUCAUAGCAACCUAUCUAGUUGACAGUACAAUAAAAUAAUAUUUAUGAUAUUAAUAAAAUAUGGUUAUUCAAAAAAUAUGUUUAGAUGUAUCUUAUUUUUAGUUGAUUUAAGUCUACUGCUACAAAUAAAGUUAAAAAAUGAACAAAAUUGAAUUUUCAGCUUAAUUUUCAAAAUAACUUUAUACUAAUACGCAUUUCCGGAAAGCUUAAAUGAUUUCCAGUUAAUGUAAAAAAUUGUAUGAAAAAUAAUGUACGGUGUGUUUUCUUCAUAACUAAGAAACGGAAAGUAAAAAACAAACAAACUACGCCAACUGGAUUCCACGGGAAUAAUCCUUAAGCACUCAAAAGAGAACGUAGAUACGAGGGUGGUCAAGAUGCGACAGUUUGGUUGGGACUUUCUUUCCCGAAAUACUACAUAUAGGCGGGCGACGUCCGCCACUGGCGCUGUAACUGUCCGCGUCGCAAACCGAUUCGAAAAAGUCGAACGGGGGCAGCGCGGAGCGGCGAGUACCUGCCGGUACCAUUUCCCGCGACGCCUCCGGCGCUGCGACGUUGCCGGCUUGUCGAGGUUCCCCUCGACGGAAAAAAUGCGUGGCGUCGGAGGUCCGCGCGCCCCCGGGCGAUCGUGAUAGAUCGAUAAACAUUAUUAUUUAACAAUUUAACAAAGUUGGCGGCCUUGGGCGGCGAAAACAAUCGAUGCCGUUGCCGGAACGACGAACGUCCCAAGUAAAUAACUAACUGAGGGCGACGCGAUGACGUUUUAACACUUUUAACGGUUUUUUGUUCGUAACAGAAGAAGAAUUAGGUUAUGUGACGGGGCGACGAGGAAACGCGUAAUGGCGAAUAAUGGCGGUUUCCUCGGAUGCGGGCAUCGACACAAAAAAAAGAAGAAGAACUCGGUUACGAAGCAAUCUGCGAUCUCUUGAGGAAACGAAAGGAAAAAGUAUGAAAUGUCCUCAAGUUAACGUAGAAUGUUCCAUCAUACCACUCUAACGAGAGGGUGAUGGUCCCUUCGAGUCCCUUUUAAUUAAGGCAUCCUCGCAAGGAAGUCAGUCACCAUUCAAAGAGGAAAUGGCCGAAUGAUCCUGGCAUACGUGGCCAAUAGCAGUCAAAGAAAAGUGAUCAACUAUUGAACCAGGUGACGAUUUUUUAAGUGACUGAUACUUUGUUAUUAAUAUUGUAUAUAUUAAUAAUGAUACUAUGUAUUUUGUACUAAUUUAAUUAAGUACAUGUUUCAAGAAUUGGUCGGCGAAAAAGAUUGAAAACAUACUUAUUUCCCGCUUGUUAGUGUAGGUAGAUAAAAUCCUAGGAUAAGGGUCUGUUCGGGAGUGUGUUCUAUAAGGGCCCGCGGUUUUGGCGUAAUAAACAGUAGGCAAAGUUGUAUCGGAGCUCCUCUUCUUUAAAUAUUUUUAGGUUUUGUGGUGAAUACGGUGAUGGGUACUUCGAAUGACUUUUAAUAUAAUCAUUUUAAUCGAGAAAUUAAAGUGACGUUUCUACAGACCGCAGAAAGAAAAUAUUCACGUUGCGCCUCAUGCGACACCGGUUUAGGAAAUCAAAAAAAUAUACAGGGUCUAUUUUAAAAAGAAAACUUCAUACGAAAACAUGUCCUAAACGUCUUAAUUUUUGAGAUAGAGAAUACCACCUUAGAUUCAAUUCAAUGAUGCGUUUCACAGAUAGCUGUUGGGCACGACUACCAGGAUCAUUCGCCCAUUGACCACCUUAGAUAUUUUAAUGAAAUUUGGCCCACACGUCAAGAGGCAUUUUGGUUAUUCUAUUUGGCAGGCAUUGAUGCUACGCCACUGAUUUUUUUAAAAUAAAAAUUAUUUUUACAAUCCAAAAUCGUUUCUAAAGGAAGGGAGUUUUUAAAGCUUUUUUUUUUGAACUGAGGUCGCUUUUAACUUGAUGAAAAUCCAAUUAACAAAAUAAAUAAGAACAAAAAGUUCAGAUUUUCACGAAAUUACACAUUUUCCCAUGACAAUUUUUUCCACGACAGCGUGUCUUUAUCAAAUGUAAUAUUUACAAUAAAAUGACCAUAAAACCUUAAUUAAUGUUGUUGUGAGAAUUUAAGUUCAAAUCUAAUUGAACGUUAAGCAAUACAUUUGAAUAUCUCAUUUUGUUAAUCUCCAUGGCUUCCAAUAAAUUUCAUUUUCUACUUUUUGUGGCUGAAUGUAAAAUAUCGUUAAUGCGUUUCUUGAAGGAUCUACCCGUUUGUCCAAUAUAAGUUUUAGGACAAGAUCCGCAAUUCAACCUGUAGACACCGGAUCUUUGGGAUUUUGGACUUUUCGAUUUAUUAUUUUUUAAGAUUUUAAACGAAAAUUUGCAAUAAAAAGUUCUUUUGAAUUAAUCAACAAAAUUAAAGAUAUCAAAAUCCCUUCAAACGCAGCACUAUUUUCUUUUGAUGUACAAAACUUAUUUCCCAGCAUUCCACCUAUGGAUGUGAUAGAUUAGAUUUCACCCUCACUCGGAAACAGGUGAACCCAUUGGUGAAACAAGAUUUAUUAGAUUGCAUAAUAGCAUCUUUAGACCAAAAUGAAUGAAUUUGAAUUUAAUAGGCAGAUUUACAUCUCUAAUGAAGGUUUGAUUAUGGGAAACCCACUUAGUCCUUUGUUAGCCGAGAUUUUUAUGGAUAAUUUGGAACAUCUCUUAAGUAAAAGUUUUCUAUGGUGGUAUAGGUACGUGGAUUAUGUCUUAGCUUGCUUUGUUGGAACGGACAAACAAUUGAAUUCUUUUUUAAAUUACAUUAACGUAUUACAUAAUCAUAUAAAAUUUACUAUCGAGAUUGAACAGGAUAACUAUUAAUUUUUUAGACUGAACUAUCACGAAAACGCAAAACAAAUUAGAGUUUUCCAUUUACCAUAAACCUUCACACAAGGACACAAUCAUAGAUAACAGCUCAACUCACCCUUAUACACACAUUUGCAUUGCAUUUCACUCUUUUAUACACCGACUUCUUAAUACGUCACUCCCAACACAAAAUUACAUAAAAAAACUUAAAAUCACUAAGCAAAUUGCACUGAAAAACGGCUACAAUCCGUCCAGCGAUGAAAUUAUAAAUAAAAAACAAAUCCAGACAACAGUAAACUAUUUAUCCGAAACCUAAUACAGAACACGAACAAUUUAAAGCAAUUACAUACAUAGGAGAACCCAGUGAAAAAGUUUCAAAACAUUUGUCAAAAUGUGGUUUAAAAAUAGCUUUCCGAACUGACAACACAGUAGGAAAAUUUUUAAAAAACAAUAAAACGAAGUGUCCAAAAAAUUUAUAUUUGACAAACAGGUAGAUCCUUCAAGAAACACAUUAACGAACAUAAAAGAGCGUCUAGAUUCUAAUUAUGCUACGAAACAACUUGCUGCUACAAACCAAAAUAGACCAUCCAAAAUAUAUGUAGAGAGUUUUGCGCAAAAGCUUUUUAUAUAAAAAUAUAUGGUUUUUAAUAAUAAACUCAAAUUAGUUUCAAAAACUGCAAAAUGCAUCUGCAUAUAUUGGAAAUAGUACUAAAUGUUAACAAAAAUUGAAGUUGUUGAAUUUUUUUAAAUUUGCGAUGCUCAUAUGUUUUUAUUGAUACACCUCAGAAGAAAGUAGCCAAAGAAAACACGCAACUUUCGUGCAAACAUUUUUUGCCAUUGCCCUGUUACUAACCUCUGUCGAUAUGUAUCAAAAUAUAAAUGAAAUCCUUGUUCACAAGACAUUUUUUAAUUCACAACCGUUUUACUACUUUAUAAUUUUCUGAUUUUCUGAUUAAUAAAAAUUUCGUGAAAAUCUGAACUUUUAGUUCAUAUUUAUUAAGUUUUUAAAGCCUUUUUAAAACAGAAAAGAAAAAAAAUCAAAUUCUACUCCCUGUCGCUAACGAACGAACUAUAGGCGUCGCGGCGCCAAAUUCGAGCGUCACGACUUUACCGGCGGACUCGUCAUUUACGACCGGACCGCGGGGACCUAGUUUUCUCUAAACGUACCGUCGACACCGCGAUGGUGGUAGGCGCUGUUGGUACGUUGACCUUUCCUUCAGGUAGAUACAGUUAUUUACAUGUCCGGAGCGGCGACACGCGCUAUACAGGGCGUCCCCGAAAAUUAAAAUGGCGAAAGACUCUGCGGCGACACAUAGCAGUAGUAUAUGGUACCGCGCGUUCGAUUUAUCUUGACAACAUUUUAAUUGGCUGAAACUUUUUUGUUUUUAGAGAUAUCAAGGUGAACAAAAAAACAAAAUGUAGGGUUAGUAGCCAAGUGACGUAUAAGACGAAACACCAUCAAUUUUCUGACAUAUAAGCCUGCAUCGUAUUUUUUUAAACGGAACACCCUGUAUAUUAUAUAUGUGUCUAAUAAAAUAUCCUAUUCCGAUUACAACGAUGUAACACACUUCGUAUUUUAGUCCACUCCUUUCGUCGUCCACUUCUUUUGUCGUGACACAACAAGAAUAAUUAUUUACAAACUAAAAUAGAACAAAAACUAUAUAAAUUAUGUACCGAUAAGGGUUAUACAUGGAACGUAUCAUGAAUUUUCUUGGAGGUGCUUCACCCUUACGGCGCCACUCCAUUGAUUCUUUUUUCGAUAGAGGAUCAUAAUAGAGAACCAUAGUUUCAUCUCCCGUCACAAUAGUUUCUAUCACAGGCUUCGGUUCCGACCCAAAGAAUUCCAAAAAAGACCGCGCACACUCGACACGGCGUUGUUUUUGAAUAGCCAAAUGGUUUUUAGGAACCCAUCUUGCACUAACCAUACCUAAAUAAUCAUGCAGGAUUCGACGAACACUUGUAUCAGAAAGCUUAGUAAUUUCUGAGAUUUCCUUGACCUUUAAACGUCGAUCACUCAAUACCACCGCUUCCACAAUCGCAACAAUAUCUUCAGUUGCCCAUUCCAUCACUACAGAAUACUAAGGAGAACUUUGGCCGUACACAUCAUCCAGCUUUUCUUUAAUAAUUUUUUUGGCGCUAACCUCGUAACUGAUGAUAGGACGCAUCUGAAAAUGUAACCUUAAAACUGGCCGAGGACCUCGUGGGUACGUUACGCCCCAAUCGAAAUUUUAUUCCUCAAGAGAUAAAGAAUGCCAAAUUAGCAAGAGGCGAAAUCAUUGCCAAGGAAUCUCCAGAGGGUGUAACGAACAUGCCAUUUGGGAACGGGAACUGUGGUUACCAAAAAUAGGCAAAAAAUUGAAAAAAUAAAACCCAAAUGUAUCGUCGAUUAUGACGGGGUCAAGUCUUCAGUCGAUGUUAGUGACCAGUUGGCGUCCUAUUAUAAGCUCUUAGAAGAUGUAAUAAAUGAAAUAAUUUGGAGUACUGGACUGACAAAGUGUGGUUUCGUCGCUACUAGAAGUACCAACUUUCCCUGAUGACCAAACUGCCCAAACUACAAGUAGGAGAAUUAAGGCAAAUGUAACGCACCCAUGAACAGGAAAAAAGAGCUAGAUGUUCUAUCUGCUACCAGUUGCAUGGCAAAAAAGGAAAAAUAGUCGAUGGGGUAAAAAAAACGGCUUCUCGGGUUAUCACUGCUUGUGAUCAAUGCGAAGAGUGUCCUCAUUUUUGUAAGAUUUGUUUUAACAAAAAUCAGUAAGAAUGUUGAUCAGUUGUUUUAUUUUGAUAUUCUUUAAGAAUUUUUAGAUUUUUGAAUAAUAAUAAUAAUGUUUUUUUUUUAAUUAUAAGUGUUUUUAUGUAAUAAAUUACAUAAAACUACUUCGCAUAUUAGUUUUUUUUUCAUUUUCGCUAUUAACCCAUGGUACUGACCAAAAAUGUUAAUAAGUAGAGUUGGUGCGCCCUAGAGAUACACCACGAAUACAUGUGGCCUGUCGUGACAGUGCUAGGUGUAUCGCUAGCGAUAUUUCAGAACAGGUUCGAAGGGAACUUAGGAAAUAAAGGCAAAACAUGGCGGAAUAAACAUUUAAAAAGCGCCAAGGGGAGACGGUUCCCCGGAAUGCCAGGGUCCUCGUAACAAAUUACUAACCGUGGCGGCUGAAAUGGAUUUCUCUGCAGAUAUCGUCGCAAUUUAGGCGAAUUUUGCGACAUAAACGGAGUUGUUAAACCUGUGUCUAUCUUCGCCAUCGAGUAGUUACUAGCGCUACAGUGUGAGCCAACGUUCUAUAAGCAAUGAUACUUACUGGUUGUGGAUUAUCUUAAACGUCCAGGAAAAUCUAUAAAACAGGAAUAAAUAAACAUGUACAGCACUUCCUUAUAUUAACAUUUAUUAGAAAAAUAUUGAUCAAGAAAAUAAAAUAAAAAACAAUUUUUAUUUCAACUUACCGUUACUGUUGGUUGUUAAGAAUUCCCCGUACUCCUCUGUGUUCUCACUGCAGAAAAAACAUUCAAAACAAUAACAACAGGCAAACAACCGCUUGCGUCAAAGUCACAAAUUCCAACCAGAUCAGCUCAGCCGAGCAAAUAACUUUGUUUUUACUUACCUUCGAUAGACUAUGCGAAAUAUCCACAAAAUUAUAUACGAAGCGGUUGAAAAUACAGUCCUUUUACACAAAUAUUCUAUUGCAAAAACAAACAAAUUAAAAUGACUCUCUAUGCUUUCUCCUCACGAGAAGCGAAAUCGGAAGAAGAAUUCCCUUAAACUUCUUCAAAUACAUUGAGGUUAUGUGGCGAGUAUACAAGUGGGUACGGCCGUAUCGUGCUGCGUCCGUCUUACGUCUUACGUACAUCACGUAAAUAGCGUGCUGGCGGUUUGCGAGAGAACGAAAAACUCUGCGGAUUGAAUUUUAGAAUUUUGCGGAUUCGAUCGUGAUCUAGCAAUAUGCUAGAGGAAGAGAAAGUUCAGCGUAUGGAACGCGAGCUAUCGAGCGUACGGUACAGUUUAGGCAUACAUUAGACGGGGAACUUUUAACGUUCCUUCGAUUUAAUAGUAAAUUAUAUUAAAAUCGAAGUCUUUCUUCGUGGUUUGGGUGGAAUAAGCUUCUCACUUGGGCUUCGCGUUCCAAAUUUGACCUGCCAGAGAAGGUUAUUUACUUGGUAUUAAUCUUGGUAAAACAGGUCAUUAUAUGUUAAGAUUUUUCUUAAAAUUCAUUGUUGUUGCUCUUUGUCGAUUGUUGUAUUGGUCUUCCACGUCCAUUUAUCGCUGUCUGCAUUAUCUACCGACUUUUAGUAUACUCCGACUCGCGAACUAUCGCAUUGGUAAAAGAGAUUAGUAAAAGGGCCAUUUUAAAAGUGACA
Cylas formicarius (sweet potato weevil) is the source of this 8708-nucleotide long non-coding RNA. RefSeq lists it as uncharacterized. The record is from RefSeq and is a predicted model, not a curated record. NCBI's taxonomy places the organism in Eukaryota, Metazoa, Arthropoda, Insecta, Coleoptera, Brentidae. The transcript has 3 exons.